Molecule: transfer RNA, 77 nt
Filed under: Hyphomonas sp.
Lineage: Bacteria; Pseudomonadati; Pseudomonadota; Alphaproteobacteria; Hyphomonadales; Hyphomonadaceae
Also listed under: 115 other names
Description: tRNA-Met
Rfam family: tRNA
About the family: Transfer RNA (tRNA) molecules are approximately 80 nucleotides in length.
Source: RNAcentral
CGCGGGAUGGAGCAGUCCGGUAGCUCGUCAGGCUCAUAACCUGAAGGUCGUAGGUUCAAAUCCUACUCCCGCAACCA